This 501-nucleotide ribosomal RNA is filed under the name uncultured bacterium. RNAcentral describes it as "partial 16S ribosomal RNA". It matches the Rfam family "Bacterial small subunit ribosomal RNA", at positions 28 to 507 of the family's 1533-position model. The record is from RNAcentral.
GACGAACGCUGGCGGCGUGCCUAAUACAUGCAAGUCGAGCGGACCGGGUUGGGGCUUGCCUUGAUUCGGUCAGCGGCGGACGGGUGAGUAACACGUGGGCAACCUGCCCGCAAGACCGGGAUAACUCCGGGAAACCGGAGCUCAUACCGGAUAACACCGAAGCCCGCAUGCUCUUCGGCUGAACUGCGGCCUUUGGGCUGUCACUUGCGGAUGGGCGCGCGGCGCAUUAGCUAGUUGGUGAGGCCACGCCUCACCAAGGCGACGUUGCGUAGCCGGCCUGAGAGGGUGGCCGGCCACACUGGGCCGGAGCCCCGGCCCAGACUCCUCCGGGAGGCAGCAGUAGGGAAUCUUCCGCGAUGGCCGAAAGCCUGACGGGGCGGCGCCGCGUGAGCGCAGAAGGCCUUCGGGUCGUAAAGCUCUGUUGUGAGGGACGAAGGAGCGUCGUUCGAAGAGGGCGGCGCGGUGACGCUACCUGACGAGAAAGCCCCGGCUAACUACGUG